RNAcentral lists this ribosomal RNA (440 nucleotides) under uncultured bacterium. RNAcentral's name for it is "partial 16S ribosomal RNA". It matches the Rfam family "Bacterial small subunit ribosomal RNA", at positions 338 to 795 of the family's 1533-position model. The record is from RNAcentral.
CCUACGGGUGGCAGCAGUGGGGAAUAUUGCACAAUGGGGGAAACCCUGAUGCAGCGACGCCGCGUGAGUGAGGAAGUAUCUCGGUAUGUUAAGCUCCAUCAGUAGGGAAGAAAAUGAAGGUACCUGACUAAGAAGCCCCGGCUAACUACGUGCCAGCAGCCGCGGUUAUAUGGAGGGGGCCAGCGUUAUCCGGAUUUACUGGGUGUAAAGGGAGCGUAGUCGGUUAAUCAAGUCAGAAGUGAAAACCCAGGGCUCAACCUUGGGACUGCUUUUGAAACUGAGUAGCUUGAGUGCAGGAGAGGUAAGCGGAAUUCGUGGUGUAGCGGUGAAAUGCAUAGAUAUUAGGAAGAACACCAGUGGCGAAGGCAGCUUACUGGACUGUAACUGACGUUGAGGCUCGAAAGCGUGGGGAGCAAACAGGAUUAGAUACCCCUGUAGUC